Molecule: ribosomal RNA, 526 nt
Filed under: Hemicycliophora gigas
Lineage: Eukaryota; Metazoa; Nematoda; Chromadorea; Rhabditida; Hemicycliophoridae
Description: bacterial SSU rRNA
Rfam family: Eukaryotic small subunit ribosomal RNA (bases 157-526)
Source: RNAcentral
AUCGGCCCCCGAAGGGCCGCCACCCUCAAAUAGCCCCAACGCGGGCACAGAGUACCGAGUGAUGAUGAGAUAGCGCUCGUGUUCUGCUGUGAUACGCCCACUAGGACCGGCGCUCAUGGCCGUGGGCGCUUCCCGGGGACGAAUCUUCCCGUGUCCGGGGAAGAAUGGUUGAAGCGUGAACUUAAAGUUGACGAAGGGCCCCAGGAUGAGCGCGGGCUUAAUUUGACUCAACACGGGAAAACUCACCCGGCCCGGACACCGUGAGUUGACAGAUUGAUAUGUUUUUCAUGAUUCGGUGGUGGUUGGUUGCAUGGGCCUCUUUAGGUUCGUGGAUCGAUUUGUCUGGUUUAUCACGAUAACGAGCGAGACUCAGCCUACUAAUAGUGCCGGGCAUUGUCUUGUGCCGUGUACUUUCUUAGAGGGAUUGGCUGCGUCUAGCGACGAAACGGAGCAAUAACAGGUCUGUGAUGCCCCUUAGAUGUCCGGGGCUGCAACGCCGCUACAUUGGCAAAGGCAGCGUGCUUUC